Molecule: ribosomal RNA, 615 nt
Filed under: uncultured Phaeophyceae
Lineage: Eukaryota; Phaeophyceae
Description: SSU rRNA
Rfam family: Eukaryotic small subunit ribosomal RNA
Source: RNAcentral
UGGAUUUGGGCGCGUCGUCCGCCAGGCUCCAUUACUGGGGCCGUUUGUCUGGUUUUCGACCGCUCCAUUUCUCGGUAGCGUGUCGCGGGCAUUAGAUUGUCUGCUUCUUCGCGCCCGUCGUUUACUGUGAAAAAAUUAGAGUGUUCAAAGCAGGCUUAGGCCGUUGGAUACAUUAGCAUGGAAUAAUGAGAUAGGGCCACGACGGUCUAUUUUGUUGGUUUGCACGUCGAGGUAAUGAUUAACAGGAACGGUUGGGGGUAUUCGUAUUCAAUUGUCAGAGGUGAAAUUCUUGGAUUUAUGGAAGACGAACUACUGCGAAAGCAUUUACCAAGGAUGUUUUCAUUAAUCAAGAACGAAAGUUAGGGGAUCGAAGAUGAUUAGAUACCAUCGUAGUCUUAACCAUAAACUAUGCCGACUAGGGAUUGGCGGUCGUUAAUUUACAGGACUCCGUCAGCACCUUCCGAGAAAUCAAAGUCUUUGGGUUCCGGGGGGAGUAUGGUCGCAAGGCUGAAACUUGAAAUUGACGGAAGGGCACCACCAGGAGUGGAGCCUGCGGCUUAAUUUGACUCAACACGGGGAAACUUACCAGGUCCGGACAUAGUGAGGAUUGACAGA